This 1164-nucleotide long non-coding RNA is filed under the name Canis lupus dingo (dingo). Its description in RNAcentral is "lncRNA (ENSCAFG00020008712.1)". The record is from RNAcentral. Lineage: Eukaryota; Metazoa; Chordata; Mammalia; Carnivora; Canidae.
AGGCCCCCUGGCGGGUACCUAGGUCGUCGCGGGCCCACCUAGGGGGCGAAAGGCACCGGGACCUCGGACUUCUAGGAACUCGGAGCCCUCCCCGCCAACCCCCUGACCUCCUUCUUCCAGUGAGGCCUCAGGCCCUGGGCGACCCCAAGGACUGGCACUAGGGGCCCCGGGCGCACCGUGGCGGGCUGAGUGCACGGAACCGGGGCGCGUCCUGGGGCUCCAGGCGCUGGCUGGCUGAGGAGUAAGCGCCGAGCCAAACCCAGAACGCUCGCACCCUUUUGGGCUACGUGGGGCCGCAGGUGGGGCGUGACGUCAUGCAACGUCACGGCAGCCUGGCCUGGCGGCGUCACUAGGCAGGAGAGGGGCGGGGCUCCUGGGAAGCCUGGACCGCCGAGCCCAGGUGUGACAGCCGCGAGGCCCGGUCCCGCAGCUUUCCCUGGGCCCGGAAGCUGCGAGUUUCGGGACCAGGAUGGGCGGUGGGUGGUCCCUGCCGACAAACGGCUUCGAAGCGCUCGUGAACGUUUCCUCUUGCUCCCUCAUUUUUGUUUUCCUUUUAUUCGGUCUUUUAAAUUUUUUCUUACUUCCGGCCGCUCCACUUCUUUCUCUGUACGAUGUUCUCUAUUUUCUACUCUACUCGUGACUCUCGGCCUCCGUGUGACUAUAACUUACUUUUUUUUUUUUUUUUACAGUUUUUUGUUUCCCUCUAUAGUUCGUUCACUAUUGCUUUUAGUUUUUCCCGACUCUUUUUUUGUCGCAUCCUGCCCCCCUCCUCUCUCCAUUUCUGAGUCUCCCGUCCUCUGUCCCUCUCCCCAGGUUUCCUUUCCUGCCUCUCUUCCUCCUUGCCUCCUCUCCUUUUGUCCUUCCUGUUUUCUUUCUCUGGCCUCUGAAUCUCUCCGCUUCCAACUUCCUCGGUGCCUGUCCCUGCCACUCCCCGCUGGCCUCCGUCCCCUCCUCCUGACCCGGCUCCCGUUAGCUCCCUGGGGCGAAACGGUUCUGGGGCCGCCCCACAGGCCCUAGAGCCGCCCCCGGCCCCGGUACACCGCCUCCCCACCCCCCACCCCGACUCCCCGGGCCAAGCGCCACCCUGCGGGCGCGGGUGUUCGGGCGCCUUCGUUGUACGCGGGCUACGGGAUUGUCUACACCGGCAGGGCUCGAGAAAGGGGA